UACCUACGGGAGGCAGCAGUAGGGAAUCUUCCACAAUGGACGAAAGUCUGAUGGAGCAACGCCGCGUGAAGGAAGACGGUUUUCGGAUUGUAAACUUCUAUCAAUAGGGAAGAAAGAAAUGACGGUACCUAAAUAAGAAGCCCCGGCUAACUACGUGCCAGCAGCCGCGGUAAUACGUAGGGGGCAAGCGUUAUCCGGAAUUACUGGGUGUAAAGGGAGAGUAGGUGGCAAGGUAAGCGAUAUGUGAAAGCCUUAAGCUUAACUUAAGGAUUGCAUAACGAACUAUCUAGCUAGAGUACAGGAGA
RNAcentral lists this ribosomal RNA (305 nucleotides) under uncultured bacterium. RNAcentral's name for it is "bacterial SSU rRNA". It matches the Rfam family "Bacterial small subunit ribosomal RNA", at positions 335 to 655 of the family's 1533-position model. The record is from RNAcentral.